GAGGCCUGAUGCCAAUAGUGUUAACUUGUACAUAAUUUUUGGCCUCUGCUAGCUUUUAGGAUCGUCCUAUAUCAUUAGUAUUUCAAAACUUUGCCUUUUAAAAAAUUCAUCUGGUUCUAUGCUGAAUGUGGACAAAUCCUUUUAGUCCUGACUUUUCAGACCAGAGAAAUCUAUUCUACUCUAUUUGUCUCUCUACAUUCCUUCUUUUAUUUCCUUUCUGUUUAGUUAUAUACUGGAAUUUAUGGACCUAUCUGUGUAUCUUUUGGCUUUCCCUGAUACUUUCUCCAUCUAUACUUCCAGGUUGAGUAAUGGGAGACUCACCUUGCCAUCAUCCUGCUCAAAGCUUUCCUCUUCAGCUGUAUCCCUCUAUAUUCAAUAGCCUGUGUUUUUUUUUUUUGUUUUUUUGUUUGUAAAUUUAAUGGCUAUCAUAUCCUCUUCUGUGCCCUUGGGAUAUUAAAUACACUUUACUUAUUGUCUUCUGUGGAUUUUUUAUUUUUGAAGUUGUUUUGGCUUUUCAUAUUAUUGGCUUUCUUGAAAUAUUUUGGUGAUUCAUAGUUGUAAUUUGUUUAGUUGCUUAUUUAGUUGCUCAUUUUUGUAUUUGAGAUCCUCUUUUUGUCGAAGUUCUAUUUAUCAAAGCCUGUGAUGGGCAGGGUGGGCUGCGCUGCCAGGUGAGGAUAUGCCAAUAUUUUGAUUUUGGGUAAGCAAGUACCUGGGGUGCACUGCCCUACUUCUCUAGCUCCAGUGGCUUCACUCAUGGUUAUGUUAUAGGCUGGGUAUAGACAAUCCUGCUGCCUGCUCCCUGGCCCAUGGUUGGGCGACGGGACUUGCUUAGCUAUUCUGAAUCAGCUCCCUACCAAAUCACCUGCACAGUACCCAUGGGCAUCUUCCUGCUCUUUGCAACUGUUGAUUCUGAGUUCCAACCCAUACCUCUGUUUGCAGUAGUCUUUACCUUUUUUUCUUGUGAUUUCCUCUUAUUUGCCCAUAGCUUUGAUCUCAUCUGCUUUCUAUCUUUCUGGCAUUCCUCAAAAUUUUUAUUCCAUUGCUAGCCCUCUCAUUUUUCGGUGCUGUAGCAUAUUUAUUUUUCUUCUGCUUUAGCACCUUAUGGGAUUUAGGGUUGAGAGAGAAAGAUGCUUCUGUUGCAUCUGCCAUUUUGAUCCAAUCUAAUACCACUUUAAGCAAACAGAACAAAAACUCUUUCAUAGCCUUUGUUCCAAUUAAUUUCCUUGAACAGAACUAGUGUUGUAGUGGCUCCUGGGAUUGUCCUGUAUUACAAAAUGUGCUGUACUACUAGCUAUUCACAGAAAGUAUUGUUUACAAGCAAUUACUGAAAUAGCAGCUCUUUUCACUGCUUCCUAACAUGCACAAUUUUGUGAUGAACUUAUCAAUACUAAUGAGCAAUUCCUAGCAGUGAAUAAUCUUAAGGGUCAUAAAAUAGGUCAGUGAUAACCAGUUUUAUUUGCAUUGAAAGAUUAGGGAUAAUAGAGCUAUCUUAAAAACUACUCAGUUGGUCAGCAUCAUGGCAGUGUAAGAUGUUCCUCCUUUUUAAACAACAAAUUAGACAUCCAUCUACAAACAAAAGUGCUGUUGUGGGAAUGAGCAUCAUAUGCCAAGGGACCCAGGAGGAGUCUUGCCUACCUGUGCAUCCAGUAAUAGGCAGACAGACCUUGGUACAGGCUGUGGAACCAGUGAAACUGCCCCAAACUCUCUUGCCGUGGUCGGGAAAAAGCCUGGAGAGUGUGGACCUGAGCAGAUACACAUGGAUAAGAGAGAAUUUGCAGAAAUCCAGGCUUCCCAAGGGGAGUUUCCAGCAUACCAUCAGAGGAGAAGAAAAAAACACAAGAUUGGCUGCACUGCAGAUGGUAAGAGGAACUUUCCCAGGGCUGUCCCCGCACCGCCACAGCAACACUCAGGGAUGAACUAUCCAGCAGUGGCAAUCACUUCCAUGGGGGAAAGGAGAGUAGUGAGUGAGUGCCUGGCUAUCCCAUUACACAGCUGGAGAAUCCCAUUUCUCUCCAGCAACACCCAGAAUACUGAGACAGGACCCCAUGACUUGGAGAGAGACUGGGAAAGAGGCAGAUAAGAAUAUUAAAGGAAGUCUGCCCAUGAGCCUCUGGGAGUGCCUCAUGCAAGGAUCACCCCACUGAGUCCACAGGUACCCCCAACGCCUCAAAUGCUAAACCCACACCUCCCUUCACUCUGUGGCCAGCUCCUUAUAGUCAUUCUGAGUGCAGUUGCAAGAGCAAGUCCAGUAAACGCUAUCACAAAAACAGACCAGGACAGGUGGGCAAGGGCGAAAUUACAAACUUGAGCUAUCUCACCACCUUCUGGAAAACAAGAGAGGUUUCCAGUAGCCAGUUUGAUAAGUGGUAAGAACCAGAGAAGACAUAAAAGCUUAAGAAUUUUGCCACAAGAAGAGUGCAGCAGGUAUACCUAUACAAAGGCAGAGAAAACCCAGAUAUAACAGCAUCAACCAACAGCAUACCCCACCUGAAGGCAACUAGUAAAGAUUUAAGGAGAUGUCAGCUACUUCAAAUGUGAAAGCAGCAAUGCCAAACUACAAGGGACAUGAAAACUCAAGGAAACAUCACUAAAAAAUAAUAGUUUUCCAAUAACAAGCUCAAAGGUACGGAAUUUUGCAGUAUAGCUGAUAAUCAAAAUAGCUGUUUUGAAGAAACUCAAUGAGCUAUAAGAAAACUCAGAAAGAUAAUUCAAUAAGAGGACAAAAAAUACAUGAACAAAAUGAGAUAUUUACCCAAGGGAUGGAAAUCAAAAAGAACCAAACAAAUUCUGGAGCUGAAGAGUUCAAUGAAUGAAAUGAAAAAUUCAACAGAGAGCACCUGCAGCAGAAUAUAGCAAAUGGAAUACAGAAUAAGUGAUCUAGAGGACAGGAAUUUUGAAAUAACACAGCAGAAAAAAGAAUGAAAAAGAGUGAGGAAAGACUACGGGAUCUAUGAGAUUCCAUCAAAAGAACAAAUAUUAGAAUAGUCAGCAUUCCAGAAGGAAAAAAGAGGGAGAAGGGGGCAGGAAAUUUAUUUAAGAAAUAAUAGUUGAGAACUUCCCAAACCUGGGGAGAGAUCUGGACAUCCAAGUUCAUGAAGCUAACAAGUCACCCUAUGGUCUCAAUGCAAAAAGACCUCUAAGACACAUUAUAAUGAAACUGUUUAAAAAUUAAGAUAAAGAGAGAAUCAUAAAAGCAGUGAGGGAAAAAAAGAUUGUAACCUACAAAGGAAUCCUCAUUAGGCUAUCAGCAGAUUUCUCAGCAGAAACCUUACAGUUCAGGAGAGAGUGGGAUGACAUAUUCAGUGUUGAAAGAACAAAACUGCUGGCCAAGAAUACUUUAUCCAGCAAAGUUAUCCUUCAGAUAUGAAGGGGAAAUACUUUCCCAGACAAACAAAAGCUAAGGGAUUCAUCACCACUAGAUCUGCCUUGCAAGAAAUGCUGAAAGGAGCUCAAGCUGAAGUGAAAGGAUGCUAAUCAGUGACAUGAAAACAUAAGCAAGUAUACAAGACACUGGUAAAGUUAAAUAUACAGUCAGAAAACUCUAAUUCUGUAAUAGGAUGGUUUGUUAACCACUUAACUAUAGUAUAAAGGUUAAAGGAGAAGACAUUAAAAAUCAUUAUAGAUACUAUAAUUUGUUAAUGAAGACAAUAUAAAAAGAGGUAAGUAAUGACAUCAAAAAUAUAAAAGGAUGAGCAAAAGGGUGACUCUUUGUUCGUGACUGAAAUUAAGUUGCUAUCAGUUUAAAAUGGACUGAUUUAUCUAUGAGAUGUUUUAUGUAAGCCUCAUGGUAACUACAAAGCAAAAACCUAGAGCAGAUUCAUGAAAGAUAAUGAAAGGGGAAACAGAAGACACCACCAUGGAAAAUCACCAAUUUACAAAGGUAAGCAGAAAAAGAGGGGGGAAAAACAAUAGAAAUACAAAACAAUCAGAAAGCAAUUAAUAAGAUGGCAUUAAUAAUAAGUCUGUACAUAUCAGUAAUAACUCUAAAUACAAAUAGAGUGAAUUCACCAAAUCAAAAGGAACAGAGUAGCUGGAUGGAUAAAAACAAACAAACAAGACCCAACUAUAUGCUGCGUACUAAAGACUCACUUUAGCUUAAAGGACACACAGGCUCAAAGUUGCAGGAUAUAAAAUCAACAUACAGACUCAGUUACGUUUCUAUACAAUGAAACGUAACAACAAAACACCUGAAAAAGAAAUAAAACUAUCCCACUUACAAUAGCAUCAAAACCAAUAAAAUACUGGGGGCCGGCCCCAUGGCCAAGUGGUUAAGUUCGUGCGCUCUGCUUCAGUGGUCCCAGGGUUUCGCCAGUUCAGAUCCUGGGUGCAGAUCUAGCACCGCUCAUCAAGCCAUGCUGAGGCAGUGUCCCAUACAGCAUAACCAGAAGAACCUACAACUGGAAUAUACAACUAUGUACUGGGUCGGGGAGGGGGGGCGCGGGUUUGGGGAGAAAAAGAAGGAAAAAAAAAGAUUGGCAACAGAUGUUAGCUCAGGUGUCAUUAAAAAUAAAUAAAUAAAAUAGUUAAGAACAAAUUUAAUCAACGAAGUGAAGAAGAUCUGUACAAUGAAAACUGCAAGACCCUGAUGAAAGAAAAUGAAGUCACAAAGGGAAAGAUAUCCCAUGUUCAUGGAUCAGAAUUAAUAUUGUUAAAAUAUCUAUACUACCCAAAGCCAUCUACAAUCCUUAUUAAAAUUCCAAUGGCAUUUUUCACAGAAAUAGAGAAAACAAUCCUAAAAUUCGUAUGGGACCACAAAAGACCCUGAAUAGCCAAAGCAAUCCUGAGAAAGAAAAAAGCCAGAGGCAUCACACUCCCUGAAUUCAAAGUAUACUACAAAGCUAUAGUAAUUAAAACAGUAUGGUACUAGCAUAAAGCAGACACAUGGACUAAUGGAACAGAAUAAAGAGCCCAGAAAUAAACCCCUGUAUAUACAGUCCACUAAUAUUUGAUAGGGGAGGCAACAACAAUCAAUGUAGAAAGGACAGUCUCUUCAACAAAUGGUGUUGGGAAAACUGGAUAACCCCAUGAAGAAAAAUGAAAAUUAGACCCCUACUUUACUCAAAAAAAUUAACUCUCAAUGGAUUAAAGACUUAAACAUAAGACCUAAUACCAUAAAACUCCUAGAAGAAAACAUAGAGAAAAAGCUCCUUGAUACUGGUCUUUGCAAUAUUUUGGAUAUGACACUAAAAGCACAAGCAACAGAAACAAAAAUCAACAGGUGGGACUACAGUCAAACUAAAUGGCUCCUGCAGAACCAAAGAAACAAUAAUAAAACGGAAAAGGCAACCUGUGGAAUGGGAGACAAUAUUGGCAAACCAUAUGUCAGAUAAGGGGUUAAUAUCCAAAAUAUAUAAAGAAGUCAUACAACUCAAUAAUGAAAAUCCAAAUCCAAUAAAAAUAAUCCAAUAAAAAAUGGGCAUAGGUGGGCCAGGCCUUGUGCCCUGGUGGUUAAGUUCAGCACGCUCUGCUUUGGUGACCCAGGUUUGGUUCCAGGAUGUGGACCUACACCACUCAUCUGUCAGUGGUCAUGCUGUGGCAGCAGCUCACAUACAAAAAGAGGAAGAUUGGCAACAGAUGUUAGUCCAGGGAGAAUCUUCCUUGGGGGAAAAAGAACGGCCUAAGAACUAAACAGACAUUUUUUCAAAGAAGACAUCCAGAUGUCCAUAGGUAAGUGCUCAACAUCACUAAUCAUCAGGGAAAUGCAAAUCAAAACUACAAUGAGAUAUCACCUCAUACAUGUCAGAAUGGCUAUCAAGAAGACAAGAGGUAAGUGCCAGUGAGGAUGUGAGGAUAAGGGAACCCUUGUACAGUGUUGGUGGGAAUAUAAAUUGGUGUAACCAUUAUGGAAAACAGUAUGGAGGCUCCUCAAAAAAUUAAAAAUAGAACUACCAUAUGAUCCAGCAAUUCCACUUAUGGGUAUAUAUCCAAAGGAAAUGAAAACAGGAUAUCAAAGAGAUACAGGCACUCCUAUGUUUAUCGCAACAUUAUUCACAAUAGCCAAGAUAUGGAAACAACCUGAGAGUCCAUCAACAGAUGAAUGGAUAAAGAAGUUGUGGUAUAUAUAUAUAAUGGAAAGCUAUUAUAAUGCUACACCUCUGUCAUGCUACAUGCUACUUAUAUAUUGCAAUAUAUAAAUGUA
Molecule: long non-coding RNA, 6139 nt
Filed under: Equus caballus (horse)
Lineage: Eukaryota; Metazoa; Chordata; Mammalia; Perissodactyla; Equidae
Description: lncRNA (ENSECAG00000059271.1)
Source: RNAcentral